ACCUAGAGGCAUUGCAGAUUGUGUCAUAUGUGCAUCAGUAGGCAGAAGCGAGGACAGAGGCUAGGUUCAAUGUUCUGACCUGUGAACAGCUGAAUGAUUAGUACACUAUUACU
Small nucleolar RNA from Rattus norvegicus (Norway rat), 113 nucleotides. Ensembl annotates it as small nucleolar RNA SNORA17. NCBI's taxonomy places the organism in Eukaryota, Metazoa, Chordata, Mammalia, Rodentia, Muridae. The record is from Ensembl.